GACGUAGGGGGCCAGCGUUGUUCGGAAUUACUGGGCGUAAAGGGCUCGUAGGUGGCCAACUAAGUCAGACGUGAAAUCCCUCGGCUUAACCGGGGAACUGCGUCUGAUACUGGAUGGCUUGAGUUUGGGAGAGGGACGCGGAAUUCCAGGUGUAGCGGUGAAAUGCGUAGAUAUCUGGAGGAACACCGGUGGCGAAGGCGGCGUCCUGGACCAACACUGACACUGAGGAGCGAAAGCCAGGGGAGCAAACGGG
Molecule: ribosomal RNA, 253 nt
Filed under: uncultured bacterium
Lineage: Bacteria
Description: partial 16S ribosomal RNA
Rfam family: Bacterial small subunit ribosomal RNA
Source: RNAcentral